GUUUUAUAUACAUUGUUUAGACCUAAGUUUCUUUUAUCAAGUUCUUUGCAAAACCCUAUUUUAAGAGACAUAAGCUAUUCAUCCUCUGCUCUUCAGAGAUUCAUUCAGUUUUUAAUACAGUGAAGAGAUCCUUUCUAACUCUUUUCUUUAUAAGAGGGUAUAGAGAUCAACACAACAUAGAGAA
RNAcentral lists this small RNA (184 nucleotides) under Arabidopsis thaliana (thale cress). RNAcentral's name for it is "ATSL265990". The record is from RNAcentral. Lineage: Eukaryota; Viridiplantae; Streptophyta; Magnoliopsida; Brassicales; Brassicaceae.